Molecule: ribosomal RNA, 159 nt
Filed under: Rhoicissus digitata
Lineage: Eukaryota; Viridiplantae; Streptophyta; Magnoliopsida; Vitales; Vitaceae
Also listed under: 1 other name
Description: 5.8S ribosomal RNA
Rfam family: 5.8S ribosomal RNA
About the family: 5.8S ribosomal RNA (5.8S rRNA) is a component of the large subunit of the eukaryotic ribosome. It is transcribed by RNA polymerase I as part of the 45S precursor that also contains 18S and 28S rRNA.
Source: RNAcentral
GACUCUCGGCAACGGAUAUCUAGGCUCUCGCAUCGAUGAAGAACGUAGCAAAAUGCGAUACUUGGUGUGAAUUGCAGAAUCCCGUGAAUCAUCGAGUCUUUGAACGCAAGUUGCGCCCGAAGCCAUUAGGCCGAGGGCAUGCCUGCCUGGGCGUCACCC